AUCUUUAUAGUACCAACUAGUACAAGUGACUUCCAAUCACCCGGUCUUGGUUAAAGUCCAAGUAAAGAUA
RNAcentral lists this transfer RNA (70 nucleotides) under Chionodraco rastrospinosus (ocellated icefish). Its description in RNAcentral is "tRNA-Gly". It matches the Rfam family "tRNA". Rfam says of the family: Transfer RNA (tRNA) molecules are approximately 80 nucleotides in length. Their secondary structure includes four short double-helical elements and three loops (D, anti-codon, and T loops). The record is from RNAcentral. RNAcentral also lists the same sequence under 4 other names. Lineage: Eukaryota; Metazoa; Chordata; Actinopteri; Perciformes; Channichthyidae.